RNAcentral lists this ribosomal RNA (253 nucleotides) under uncultured bacterium. RNAcentral's name for it is "partial 16S ribosomal RNA". It matches the Rfam family "Bacterial small subunit ribosomal RNA", at positions 524 to 776 of the family's 1533-position model. The record is from RNAcentral.
UCCGUAGGGGGCGAGCGUUGUCCGGAAUCAUUGGGCGUAAAGCGCGUGUAGGCGGCCCGGUAAGUCCGCUGUGAAAGUCCAGGGCUCAACCCUGGGAUGCCGGUGGAUACUGUCGGGCUCGAGUCCGGAAGAGGCGAGUGGAAUUCCUGGUGUAGCGGUGAAAUGCGCAGAUAUCAGGAGGAACACCAAUGGCGAAGGCAGCUCGCUGGGACGUGACUGACGCUGAGACGCGAAAGCGUGGGGAGCAAACAGG